Molecule: long non-coding RNA, 2852 nt
Organism: Drosophila serrata
Lineage: Eukaryota; Metazoa; Arthropoda; Insecta; Diptera; Drosophilidae
Source: RefSeq, a predicted model, not a curated record
AUCAUAUGACUGGCAACAAAAACAUGGCAAAAACACGGCACGGCACAGAAACUGAAUCGAAAAUCCAAUAAGACAGGUCGAAAUCACUCGGCAUUCGCUGACUGCUCGUGUGUGUGCGUGGUUGGAAGGAGAGCCCCCGCCCUCGCCGCACCAUCACGCAUCCCUGCACUGACUAAACUAAACUAUAACUACAAAAAACUAAAUCAAGUCGAAACGGCGAUUGGCAAACGGCAACUACAAAGUACGCCCCUACCACCCCUUGGAACUCCCACAAGCCCAUCGUCGCGAAAAGCAGUGAUAUAUUUUGUGUUCUACAUGUAAUCACUGCUACCACUGGAAUACGGACCAGCACAGUGGGACAAAUCAAAGAAGGAAGGAAGGAAUAAGUACAACCUGGCCACCGCCGACGACUUUGUCCGGAGACCCCCACCCAGACCUAAGUGGGAGCCCGGCCUAUCCCAGAAGAGAACACACCUAGUACCUAUGCGUUGCGUUGUGACAAUAACACCACACAAUCGUGGUGAACGCAAAUGAUUUGUCUACGGAUUUUAGUGCUUUAUGACGGGCACUAGGCACCGGGCACUAUACCAUAGCGCAAACUUUAAACGUAGUCAACGGCAGCCGUCGAGCCACCCACCGUCACACCCACUGAAGCCACCGAACCACCCCUCCAAUUGACUUACCUUGAUCUUGGGAGCUUACAGGGCCUAAUCCUGGGGCACCGUGAAAAGUCUUCACUGUCAAUGCCAAUGUCAACAGUGAAAAAAAUGUAAAUUUUUGAUUACCAAGUGAGGUCUUGGAGGUCUGGAGUUCUUAUGGAGGGGCUUUAGGUACACCACAUUGUUCCUAUAGGAAAUAUAUUACGACACUUGGGAGGUAUGGGUUAUAUCCGGAAAUCAAAUCCUCGGAAUAUAAUUUGUACAAGUCUUCCUAGCAAGAUGAGCCUCUCAUAUCCUGCUAAAACUACUAUCAGGAUCAGGAGCUUUAAAGAAAAACAACCUAAGAAGAUGUAACUAAUUUAACCAGAAGAUUUAUAUAGAUCAGUAUAUAGACAAAAGUCUAAAGAACCCUAUGGCCCACCGUGCAGGUGCAAUCACUGCAAACGGGCGACGCCGAACCGAAGUGAUUCCAAAUGGGAAGAACGCGAACGAGAGCAGGGCAAGUACUCAUGAUCAUCAACAUCAGAGUUGAGUUAUCGCCUCCGUUUAUUUCCUCUGCUCCACAUUCUAUAUAGAGUCUACCCACUGAUCGAUUUUGAUUUUGCGAGAGGAGAAAGCUCCCCGGAGAGCACACGGAGAUAGCCACCCGGGGGCAUCGCCAGUGACAAUGAUAGUGUUGAUAACAAGCCCGCCUCGAGUGCUUCGCCUUUGGAUAAGAGUAAGCGAAGCUUUAGCUUUAGCGCAAAAAAAGUAAAACUCACGAUCUCAAUGGGGAGAAUUGAGGAGAGUGAGAAUUUGGAGCAGUGGUUUGGCCAUGACACCUGGAAUUUGAUGAUGCGGACGAUGACUUACCUAAGUGCCCCAAGUAUACUCUGAAAAUAUACAUAUGUAUAUGAUGGAAUAUUUAAAAAAGUAACUAAAAUGAAGAGUAAACUGGGAACUAUAAUUAAGUUGUACUUAUCAGAGAUUCAAGUUUAGUAUUUAUAUUUUCUUUAUUUUAAUUUAUUCCCUAUUCGAUCGAUUUAAAUUUAUUUUUCCCAGUGUUCCUAGAUCUCCCUGAACUCUGCGUAUUAUAAUAUCUUUCACGUCAUAGAUCGUAGUACCUCAAACAACUGAGUUUGCUCCUCAAAUCAGAGCGGGCAAAUACAACUCAACGAGGUGCUAAAAUAUCCCAUUUGUGUUCGAUCAGUGGAGCCUUUAAUUGGAAAGAUAAGCUAUAUGUAUAUGAUUGUACAUAUAUUCAUAUGUAUAUCGCGAAAAGUGCGAGAUUUUUUCUUUAUACAGAGAGAGAUCCGGAGAGUGAGCAGCACAGUCAAGGCCCACAGAGACUCCUAUUUAAAUUGGCAACUGAUUCAUUAGUCGCAUUAGCCCAAGUUGAUAAGCAUAAUUAAUUACGCCGCUAGCCAGCCAGCUUUGAUGUAUCGACGGAACCGAACAGCUCCUCCUUGUGGUUCGCCUCCUGUCACCGCAAAGUGGCCGCCACAAAUCCAAGUGUAUUUAAAUAAAUUUAAAUGAAUUGUAAUUGAUGGGAUACCUGGCCACCGGGGCCCACGGAAGGUAUUUCCCGACGAUUCAUGGGUCUCUGUCUUGCAAGUCGCCGAUCGGAUCGUGAAUAGAUUAGUUGAGUUGGAAUGUACGCAUGACAUCUGCUGGUGAUGAUUUCGGGCGCCUCAAUCAAUUAUAGUGGUGAUGGAUGGAUUGAUGUGUAAACUUUAUAGUCAUUACUUAAAUAUACAUUUUAGAAAUGUAAAAAAAACUUCAUUUGCUUAUAAAAUGUGCUACAGGAAGUGAAACAAAACCAUUUAGAUGAUUUUUCCUGGUAGGAAUAACACAAAAUAUUAAAAAUGUAAUCAAUAAGUUUGAUUUUAUAUUUUUAAGUGCCAUAUUUUGUAAUAUAUCAAAGCUUACUAUACUUCUAUAUUGAGUUCGAUAUUUUGUUCAAGAUAUAAUAUAAAACCUUCCUUUCUUGAUAUAAAGAUAUAAUUAUUAGUCAUUGUGUACAUUUCACAUGGAUAACCCAUCAAUCACUUCAAAAUUUACUGCAUUCCGCUUGUCUGUAAUUGAAUCAAAGUAAAUAGCUUUCAUCACUUGAUGGAUAGCAUAGUAAUCCAUCAUCAUAGAACGGAAUUCAAUUGAAAUUAAUAACAUAAUGAGAUUAAUCAGUUGAAAUAAAUAGCAAACGAAAAGGGAGUU